CUCAACUACAUAGUGACAUUCCUAGGUCAAUUCCUGCUGAUAUUACUAGGAAGAAGACCCUCAGUCAUGACAACAAUUAACAACCCCCACGUCUGGCAGGCUUCCCACACUUAGUUUGUUUUCUUCACGGCAGGUAAGGGACUCCUCUGCUGACAACGACGAUAACAACAAUUAACCCACAAGACAUAACAUAACAAAUAAAAAAAAACGCAAAACAGAGCCGGGAGGUAGGUCGUUGAGACGAUGAUGGCCGUCGUGCAGAUCGGAUGCGGCGCUGCCCCCGCCGAGAUGAAGUAGGUAGGUAGGUAGGUAGUAGCUGGGUGGGCUCCGACCCGCUGUGGCCUGUGGAGUAGGUCCGGAAUGAGUAAAAUGAAUCAGUCACUCACUCACUCACUCACUCACUGACGUCAUGUAUGAUCCCCUGCCUCACCCGAGAAAGCAUGCAUCGGUUUGUACCUUCACCUUCACCUUCACACGGUAUAGUUUAACCCAACCUAAACAUCCGGCCUCACACACAGGUGCUAGGUGGCGAGGUAGACCCUGAGGAGAAGAAGAAAACGUUUGGGAGGGUAAGCUAAACUAAGUGCAAAACCACCAGGGCCAGCCAGCCAGCACAGACACUGCGAUACAUUAGUCUUGCGCUAGCUAGUAAGAAUAAGAAUUAGAAUUAGAAUUAGAAGAACACACACACACACACACACACACACACACA
Long non-coding RNA from Eriocheir sinensis (Chinese mitten crab), 712 nucleotides. RefSeq lists it as uncharacterized. The transcript is spliced from 2 exons. NCBI's taxonomy places the organism in Eukaryota, Metazoa, Arthropoda, Malacostraca, Decapoda, Varunidae. The record is from RefSeq and is a predicted model, not a curated record.